GUGCUCACCUUCAGCAGCACAUAUACUAAAAAUUGGAACAAUACAGAGAGGAUUAGCCUGGCUCCUGUGCAAGGAUGGCAUGCAAAUUUGUGAAGUGUUCCAUGUAUUU
Small nuclear RNA from Cricetulus griseus (Chinese hamster), 109 nucleotides. The record is from Ensembl. NCBI's taxonomy places the organism in Eukaryota, Metazoa, Chordata, Mammalia, Rodentia, Cricetidae.